UGGUGCAUGGCCGUCGUCAGUUCGUACUGUGAAGCAUCCUGUUAAGUCAGGCAACGAGCGAGACCCACGCCCACAGUUGCCAGCGUACUCUCUGGAGUGACGGGUACACUGUGGGACCGCCGCUGCUAAGCGGAGGAAGGAAUGGGCAACGGUAGGUCAGUAUGCCCCGAAUAUCCCGGGCUACACGCGAGCUACAAUGGUUGGUACAAUGGGUAUCUACCCCGAAAGGGGACGGGAAUCUCCUAAAACCAAUCUUAGUUCGGAUUGAGGGCUGCAACUCGCCCUCAUGAAGCUGGAAUCCGUAGUAAUCGCGUUUCAACAGAACGCGGUGAAUACGUCCCUGCUCCUU
This 349-nucleotide ribosomal RNA is filed under the name uncultured Methanosaeta sp. Its description in RNAcentral is "bacterial SSU rRNA". It matches the Rfam family "Archaeal small subunit ribosomal RNA", at positions 988 to 1338 of the family's 1478-position model. The record is from RNAcentral. Lineage: Archaea; Methanobacteriati; Methanobacteriota; Methanomicrobia; Methanotrichales; Methanotrichaceae.